GGUGGAAGAAGUACCCCGAGGCGGCGGCGUUCUGGUCGAGGGACUCCUCGUCGUCGGUGUCGACAUCGGCGUCGAUGGUGUCCUCUGGCUCGUCCUCCACAACGUCGAGGGUGUCGAUGGUGUCGAGGGUUUCGUCGUCGGCGACGGAGUCGUCGUUGCCGGAAUCGGAGACGAGGGAGUCGUAGUUGAAAUCGCGAGAGGAGGGGUGGGAGUGCGGGCUGUGGAGGAGGGAGACGGUGACGCACGCCAACAGAAGGAGACCCGAAACGACGACCACGACGACGCACAGGAACACGCCGUAACGGGGGUGACGACGGGAUCGGAGAUUUCUCAGCAUUUUCUUUCGUUGGAAAACAGAGAAAUAUUCAACGGGAAUGCAAAAUGAAUGCAUGCAAUGUUACUACAAGUGGGCCCACUUUGGACUAUCCUCACGGAACAGGCUCAUUGUAUGGUUUUGGCUAUAAAAUUAGGUUAAUUUCUGGUUGGUAUCAAAGUGCCAACAUUACUAAUUAAGCUAUGUUUGGAUAAAAAGCUACCAACAAGGUCUUGAGAUCUCUACGAAAGUUAGUCCCAUGCUUUUCCGUAGGAAUAUCUUACUUGCAGAUAAAAAAUAAAAAGCUGAAAAUGUAUUUUUGGAAAAUUUAAUGUACAUUUUUAAAUUCCAAGACAUAAAUAAAGAAGGAUGAAUUUGGAGUUUAAAACACAGUUUCAAAUAACUGAAGUUUUAAUAUUUAAGAUUUUCGGCCGAUUUUUAGGAAUAAAACUAUUUGAAAUAUAUUUUUAACCUCUUCUAACUAAUAUCUAAACAUGCACUUAGUUCUCGGGAGGCAUGUUUAUUUAGUUUGUACUUGGUAACCAAAUCAAGACCAUUGUCACCGAAAUCAUACAUGGCAUCUCACUCAGCUUUGAGUUUGCUCAAUCACAUAAAUAUUUUAAUUAAUUUUUUCAUGAUAAGUACUUAUUCAAUUAAUUUAUAUUAUAUAAGAUUAUUUUUUAUCUUAUAAUUAAUUAUAAAAGUUAUUAAAAUAAGCUCAAAAAAGUUUAUAAGAAUCGAAGUUUAUUUGAGUCCAAGUUUCGAAUAAGUUCUUUAAAAUCCCUCCAUCAUCUUUAUACCUACUACCAUUUUCACAUACUUGUAUCUGUGCAUUCGCAAAGUAUGUUAUCAGCAACUGCUUCUUCUUGGUAUGCUCACGGUUGCUGCAAUUUGUGUGGUUGAUAUAACUUCAACUGAAAAUUAAAUACCAACUUCCUAAUGACUAAUAUAAUACUAUCUCCAUGAACGGCUUGCCUCCUAACUAACCCACAUUUUAUAUGUAUAAUAACAGUUACGUGCAUCAUAUAUGUCUCACCCAUAACAAACUUGUAACGCCAGAAUUCCUCAUAGGCAUGCUUUAAUUUGGAGAUUAUAUAUAUGACUGGUCCUGCAUGUGCAUCUGAUAUCAGCACCAAUUAAAGAAGAAAUAUGGGAAAUGAAGGUAUUAUGAAUGGUGUUACCCCCGGGAAGGCUACCAUAUUAGCUCUUGGCAAGGCUUUCCCUCAUCAGCUUGUCAUGCAAGAGUAUUUAGUUGAUGGAUAUUUCAGGGACACAAACUGUGACAGUCCUGAACUCAAGCAGAAGCUCACUAGACUUUGUAAGUACAUAAAUAAGCUUUCCCCCCUUUCCCCUUCUCUAUAUAGGGAUAAUUGAGACUCAAUGCAAAGUGAUUUGUGCACUCUUUUAUUAAUUACGCUACCUCUCACCCUUUAAGCAGUUGGUUCUCACACAUGUUUAGAUUAUAGUUUGCAAACCAAGUUUUGAUGGCUAAAAUCGUGUUUAAAUACAACCAACAAUGGCUUUUGCUAAACAUGUUAUGUGUGUUCGGAUUAAAGUUUGCAAAAUUAAGUUUUUAAAGUAACCCAGAUGUUGCUUUCAUCUGAAAAUUGAUUUAAAGCCAUAAUGCAAAAUUACAAAACAGAAACCAAACAUAUCGCGAAACUGACUUUAAUAAGACUAAUGUAUGUACAAGGCAGCCGAAUGAGACACUGACUUUGGCUUAAUGUGGUAUAUAAACAGGCAAGACAACCACAGUGAAAACAAGGUAUGUGGUAAUGUCAGAGGAGAUACUGAAAAAGUAUCCAGAACUUGCGGCUGAAGGCAUCCCCACAGUAAAGCAACGACUAGAGAUAUGCAAUGAGGCAGUGACAGAAAUGGCCAUUGAAGCUUCCCAAGCUUGCAUCAACAACUGGGGUGGAUCUUUAUCAGACAUAACACACUUAGUUUAUGUGUCAUCCAGUGAAGCUAGAUUACCCGGUGGUGACCUUUACCUAGCCAAAGGACUAGGACUGAGCCCUGAUACUCAACGAGUCAUGCUCUAUUUUGCUGGUUGUUCGGGAGGCGUGGCCGGCUUACGUGUUGCGAAAGACAUAGCUGAGAACAACCCUGGAAGCCGAGUGCUGAUUGCUACCUCAGAAACUACAAUUAUUGGGUUCAAGCCACCAAGUGCAGAUAGACCUUAUGAUCUAGUUGGGGUGGCACUCUUUGGGGAUGGUGCUGGUGCAAUGAUAAUUGGCUCAGACCCAAUAUUGGAGUCUGAGAAGCCUCUCUUUGAGCUUCACACUGCAGUUCAGGAGUUUUUGCCACACACUGAGAAGAAAAUAGAUGGGAGGCUGACAGAAGAAGGAAUAAGCUUCAAGUUAGCAAGGGAACUUCCUCAAAUAAUUGAAGACAAUGUUGAAGGAUUCUGUGACAAGUUAAUAAGUGUUGUUGGGUUUGAGAACAAGGAGUACAACAAGAUGUUUUGGGCUGUUCAUCCGGGGGGUCCUGCCAUCUUGAACCGCAUUGAAAAGAGGCUUGAUUUGUUGCCAGAGAAGCUGAGUGCAAGUAGAAGGGCUCUCAUGGAUUAUGGCAAUGCUAGCAGUAACACCAUUGUGUAUGUGCUUGAGUAUAUGAUAGAGGAAGGUCUCAAGAUUAGAAAGGAUGCCAGAGGAGAUCUUGAAUGGGGCUUAAUACUUGCUUUUGGACCAGGGAUUACAUUUGAGGGAAUUCUUGCCAGGAACUUGUGUGCUUGAUGAUAUUAUUAUCACAAGAUGUGUUUAUGUGAUACGUGACUCCAUCAAAAGCAUAUUCAAGACUAUAAUGAUCAAAAGAAGAAAAGUCUUAAAUAAAAACUUUAACCGCAAAAUCCUUUCAAAGCAGUUUUGUGAUGAAUCCCUUCGCAAAUUUAUCAGCACUUAAUAUAACUUUUAAAGAUCGGAAUUCCUUUAUUCACAGGAUGGAUGCCAAGCACAUGUGAUACAUUCAACUAAUGAAAACAUUAGGAAUUAGGAUGCUACAUAAUAAAAAUGGAAAGGAUCAAUUUUGAUAAAAGAAUAAACUAAAGAUUAUCUAUUUGAGUAAUACUGUGAAACCUCGGAUUAGAGCAGGCAAUAACACUUAAACUGAACUGAAUCGGGAUUUCAAUAUUUAUAAUUAAUUCAACUAGAAAAACUAGAGUUUUCACUUUUCACCGAGGCACCGUUAGAAAAAUAAGUUAUCAGCAAGUUUCUGCAAGUUUGGUUCAGUUUGUACAGAUAGCUUGUUAUAUUAUUGCAGGAAGAACUUUCAUCAAAAAAGCUGUUUUGAACUUUGGCUGUACUUUUUGUUUCUUAUCAGCCUAUUUUGGGCAAACAUUAAUCAAAUUCAACAAAACAAUCACCGGAACAUUUGCCAUUGUAACCGUUUUUUACGUUGUAUAGAAUUGAUACCAUGCCUUGUGCAAUUUCAAUUCAAGCAAAGACAAUUACAAACAAAUAUGCUCUGCUCUUUGUUUUACUUUCUUCUAUGUCCCCCUAUGCACCAUGAUUUAGAAUCUAGGAAGGCCUCAAAAAGAGAAUUCCAAAAACAGAAUGCAACCAUUUUCGUAGAUCAGUAAGAACUCUUCGUGCAUCAUGAGCGGGAUUCACAAUGAGGAAUUGCAACAUUAAGAUUUAAGAUAACAUCUCUGGACUCAAUAAUUCAGAUUUGUUUUCUGCAAUGCAACAUACAUAAAACUCGCAGUAUUCAACUGCAUGCAAUAGAUCAAAACCGCGCACAGUCCACAUAUUUUUACGUAGGCAGGGUUCAAUCUAAGACUUACUGUAGAACUUGAGCACAUGGAAUAGUUAUAACAAUAACUAAAUUCCAAGAGUCCAAGCAAAUAGAGACUUUACGUGUAAAGCACUUCCAACCAUAUAUAACAGUAACCUAAACAUAAAUAUCUUUAGUUUCUUUCAUCCCCAACUUUACAUUCCACCAAGGAACCAAACAAGUGUGUCAACACAAUGUACUCGAACAAGGGUAACCAACCAUAAUGCCUGAUUAAGUUAAAAUCAAAUGUGACAGUACACAUCAAAGCAGAUCUUCAAUCACACCACUCCAGAGGGAAGACGUAGAACAAGCUGUCCCCCGAAGACACUGCAAUUUAAAUGAAAAUAAAUAUCAUGAGGACAGGAUAUAUAACUUAUAAGGUUGGUUGGCUGAUUAAGAAGAAAGUGAAGGAGGGGAAAGGUCAUGGAUUUGAUCUCUCCUGUUAACAAAAAACUAACAAACUAACAAUUAACAUUUGCCGAUUAAAAAAAAUCAUGAGGACAACUGGACAAGAGUCAUGCUGGAACGAUCUUGAGAAACUCUUCAGACUGUAAAAUGACUGACAUGGGAAAGAAAGAAAACAGCUAUAUUAGAAACUAAACCAACCUUUUGACAUAAUAGUAACAGAAAUCUGCUAAGAUGAAGGUCUGGACAAUUUCCGAGAUAAGAACCAUUGAUGGCCAUAAACCAUACCCCAAGGCCACCAACAAAUGCCCACGGCUAUCUAACACCUGUAGAAAGAAACAGUAAGUUGGUAGGAGACCAACAGUUGGAAAAUCCAGUAAGAUACACCAUAAAAAGAAACAAAUUAAUAAAAGCAGCAAUCAUGUAACUGGUUUACUAUCAAAAUGAUUUUAAAUUAAUUUAGAAAAACGAAGAACACCAACAUUCAAAGGGAAAUUAGAUACCAACACAUGCCCUUGUAAAGUUCUGCUAGAGGAAAGAUGUCUUAGCUGUACUAUUUAAAAUGAAAGAGAAACUAAAAUUUAUGAAUAAUGUUCACGUUUCAGUCCUUUAAACAAGAUAGGCAUUCCAAAUAGAUAUUGGUCUUAGAGACACUGAUCACCAGCAUGUGUCAGAAAACAAGUGAGCAUCAAAUUUGCAAAUGAAUCAAAGAAUUGACUAAUGCAUUUUUGAGUUUUUAUGAACAGACCUGAAGAACCCAAUGAGCACAGCUCAAGAAUCUUGCAACACCCAGUGCAAAUACGUAGUGAGCUGUGAAUGGCUCAACAAUCUGAAAGUAUAAAAUGAAACAGAAAAAUAGAAUCAGAACCCAUACACGAAAUGUUGGACAGAGAUUCUUAAGUUAGGAAAUAAUACCUUGGUGUUCUGCAUGACCCGCAGUUGGGGCAGGACUGAGACAGCUUCUAGAUAUACACAGAAUGCCCAGGAAAUCCUGUUUAAUAAAUGAUGAGAAGUUGAUGGAUGAAUGAGUAAGGCUAACAUAGCACAUGGUGCCACCUGCAUUCAAUUUCAAAAGUAAAGAAGGCUGACUCAGAUUAAAGGUAAAUGCAAAAGUUACAAGCAAUGAGUAACAAAAUCACAGAUUUAUGAAAAGGAAUAAAUCAAAUCCUUCAAAGUAAACCGACAAGCAAAAGAAAGGAAGAAAGACGGAGUAAAAUGAAAGCCACAUUCAGAUAUGGUCUGCAGCAGUUUUAUUUGACAUGAUGGCACUCGGCUCUAUUAAAAUAAGAGCAUCGUAGUAAACCAUAUGUAUAGAACAUCCCAAACCCCACUCUAGUGUGGCGGAAUAGGAUGAGCUUCAAGUUUUUUUGUUCACAAAAAUAGAAAGUCCACUUCAUACAAUGUCAUGGGAAACAAUUCUCCCGUGUCACUCUACAGAUCCAGAUUUUAUGGUAUUAUUCAUGCAGAAGGCUGAUUGCAUUGGUAUCAUAUCAAUAAUAUGACUAUUUCAAUAUAACAGAAAAUUAGAAAACAACUCAAGCGUGAGAAAGUAUGAUUUUCAGUAUUUCAAUGUACACUAUCAUUUUCAGUAUCAGCAAUGUACACUACACUACCAAAUCUCACAACUCAUGACUUAUUCAAACAGGGAGACAUCCCAUAGGACAUUGCUACCAUCUAUAUGAAACGUUCAAACUCAAGAAGGUCAAAUUUCCAAUUCCACCAGAAUUAACAAUAUUAAAAAAUGCUUCACCUAAUACAAUGUCACAGAAAGGACAAUAUAGAUGGGGAUAGGCUUCUAACCUUAGGAUGAAACAAUAGGUGGAGCACUGGAACUUACCACAUAGUAUAUUGCAAAGUUAUCCUUCUCCUCCAUGUAGCUAGCCUUGAGCUUAAAACGAAUCAUAUAUAUAACCCACACUGUUGUUACGAAAGUAGCGAAAUCAAGUAAGGUGUGGAUAUCAUAUUCCAUGACAAAACUGCAGUACAGCCUUACAGCUAAAAAGAUAGCUGUUAAUUCCUGGGAUUUGAGUGAUAACCCUGUGUGCAUCAUUCAAAACCAUUAGCAAAAUGUAAACCUAAUACACACACACACAUACAAGACACCUCUUUCUUUAUACACACACACCUCUUUCUUAUGUCCAAUAACAAAAGACAAGACAUUGAAUUGUUUGAGCCAACACAAACACACACGCAAAUCAAAUCAGCCAAACAAUGCCGACCAAAUUGUAAAAAAUAAACAAAUAAAUUGGAAAGUAUACAAGAAAAUAACAAUCUUAAAAAUAAAAAUCAAAUUUUGGUUAAGGAAAUCUAGACGGAUUAAAUUAAAAUCUCCAAAAAACUGAUGCUUCUAAUUUUUAUUUUCUCAGCAUGCAAUUUAGAGUUGAAAGAACUGAAUAAGGAGAAACUCUAACCUAACCAAGCCUACCCAAUUAAUUAACAAAUAGAAAUAGAAGAUAAUGUUUAUUACCAGCACAUGUCUUCUCCUUCAUGAGCUUAUAGAUGAGGACGGAAAUUCCGAGGGAGUGGACGGCCUCGGCAGCGACGAAGAGGUUGUCAUGAUCGUGGACGAUGAAGCGAAGGAGCACGAGAGCCGCCAUGCCGGAAACGACGGCGAGAAAAGCCUUCACCUUUGGGGGCUGUCGCCUCACCCAUGUCGUGACGGCGUGGAUCGACGUUCUCUGAGGUCUCAUGGGGUCGCUGAUUGAUUCCCAAUGCUAUUCCUAUUCCUCCCAACACAAACUCACACACACAACCAAACCAACGUUGGAUUGGAACAAACAAACUAAACAAGAAGAGCCCAAUGCCAAAAUGCAGAUUGAUGUUUUGUUUUUGUUUUCUUUUCUCUCUCCAAAAGUUUCAAUUCAACUCAAACAGAUUGAUGGAUUGUACUAUUUUUAAUUUUAUGAUAAACAAACACCAAUAUGUUCCCUCUAAACCCUAAGGAUAUUACUUAAAAAAACAAAUAUUCUAAAAUAUCUAUUAUAUCAAAUCAAAAAUAGAUAUAAAAAAAAUCUAUCAUGAAUAUUUUCAAUCACUAAUGUAUAAUUUACAUAUUUAAAAAUGUUUAUUUAUUAUAAAUUUUAGUUAAUAUUAAAAUAAACAUUAGAAUACUAGUUUAACAUACUUUUCCAAUAACUAAAAGUAUAGAAAUUAAUUUUUCAUUAAUUUUUUAAAUUCUCUUUGCCCGAUUCAUUAAUGGCGACAAUUAAGUAACAUAAUUGUAAAUUAAAAUACUAUAACAUAUGCAUGGAAUUUGUAAGUCUUUGAUUUUUCAAAUCUACAAUUGGUCCCUGACCCCAAUUAUUAAUCAUAAAUAAUCCUAAUGAGUGACAACUAAAUAGAUGAUAAUUUUAGGGAAAUUAUCAUUAGCACGAAACAGUUUUCGUAGAAAGGAGUUUUUGGCACCAAUGAUUUUUCUAUAUAAUAUUUGAAACAUUUGAUUUGGUAACACUUCACUCGUGAAUAGAUUUCGUAGAUGAAAUUUCAUAGGAUAUAACACUGUUUCAUAUUUAUAUCGUUUGGUCCACUGGCCUCACAAAAAAAUAAUUAGCAUUUAUUAGGUAAGAGAUCUGGACACAAUCAGUAUGUAGUCUAUUCUACUCUAACAUAAACUGAUAAAAGGAUGGAGACUUGAUAGGCAUUAUAUUGCAGAAUUAAUGAUAUGAAUUGUAUAUCACAUUUUGUGUGGUGACGCCAACUAUAUAUAUCAGCAAAAUACAUUCUAUGUCUAGUGUUUAACGAUCUCGAUCUAGUUGUACAUAUCAUCCACUAAGAAAUUCAUGCAAUUCUCUAAGAACGAACUCUAGCACAAUGCAAUUAGCUAGAGAUACUUAACACAACGCAUCUCAGAAAAAUAGUACGUAGAACCUAAAAGUAAGAAACAAAAUCUUGAGCUUCUUUUCAGUGUUGCCCUCCACCUCGACCUUCUUAAUCCUUUUUUGCCAUUACAAGUCAAAAUCAACUUGCAAUGAAUUUGAUCUUCUGAGCACAGGCUUUUGGUGUUUGUCUUCCUCUAGUGCCACCAUACCUAAAUGUGAUGGAUCGUCCAAAAACAUCUUAGCCACCAAGUAACCAGCAAUGGACCAAGUUUGGUAUUUGCGUGCCUGCUUCCCAAUGUAACGACCAAGCUUUCCAUCAUAAUAUUCGGUCCAGUUGUCCUUGAGCAACCUAGUUUCAGCAAUUUCAAGGGCUCGUUUUGCAAUGUGGGGUCGUCCUGUCUUGAUAGAGGCAGCAACAAGAAGCCAUAGAAGAACUGCAUCCACCACAAUAUCCAAAAAUGUAACUCAGAAUUUCUUCAACUAUAUGCUAAAUGCCCCCUUGCCUCAAAGGACCUCAUGAGAUAUGUUUACACUAGAUAAAAGACUGUAUCUCAUUUCAGUACCUAAUUAAAUAACAUGCUGUAGUGUAUGCAAUACCAUUCACUGUUCUAAUCUAAAUAAUAGAAUCAAUAAUCUUUUCAAAUAAAAGUAUUGUAUGCAAUAGUAACUGAAAAUUCAAAUUUGUAACAUAGUUCAAUGCAAAUGUGGCCUAAGGGCAGAAGAACUGAUACCUGGCCAAGAUCCUCCAUUGUGGUAACUCUCCAUCUGGUGUUUUUUGGGUCACAUCAUGUUAUGAUCCGCCACUCAUGGUUUUCAAGGGCUGGAUAACAAACUUUUAGAGGCAUCUCCCCAAUCAGUUCCUGCCACCGAGAUUCGAUGAGAUCCAUGAUUGCAAUGGAUUGCUCAGGAGUAGUCAAGCUGGACAAAAUUGCUAUGCAAUUACCAAGGCAAAACCAACGGAAAUCCAUCCUAGCAGGACUAUCAUUCCCAAUAAAUUAACCACCUUUAAGUGGCAUGAAAUCAAAAACCCAAUCAGGUAGAGAAUCAGGAAUGACAUUAAACUUGUUGACUGCAGUAUGUGAGUAUUCUUCUGUUUUGAAGUGAUAUACAUCGUUAAGUUGCUUCAAAUCCAACCAAAAAUAGCUUCUCAGGUGAUAGCUUAAGGCAUGCAAGCGUGUGGUAAUUCGUUCUCUGAACUCCUCGCCUUCAGCAUCUUCCUUUAGCAAUAGCAAGGCACACCCUAAAGCCAUGAAGAAAAGUGAUUGAAUCUCAAUUGAAUAACCGUAAACACCCUAAUAUGUCAAAAAAAUGGAAGUAAGAAAAAUUACGGAAACUGUGGAUGUGUUGUAUUAAUGGAAGCACAAGAUUGGAUUGUUCUUGACUUAUAAAUUGGAUUGAACUCUUCAAAAUAUUAAUCUGCAAAAAUUGAGAAACCUAGAACUAGAACAAUAAUGUUUUCCUACAGCUAAUGCCUUGUUUUAUUCCCUAGACAAUGUAAAAUAUGAUGGUGCAGUUCUUAUAGAGUUCAACAAAGUCACCAUUCUACGAUCUAUCAUGCAGCAUCCAUCCGCACAUAGUAGAGUGGGGAAGGUGUCAAAUCCCUCGGAAAGGCAUAAAUUCAAAAUCAAGCGCAUGCCCUUCUGACAUUCAGGCAGUUCAGCCAAGGAAUUGUCUCCUGUGGACUUUGUGUAUGCACACCAAAAUCCCGAAUCAAUAUGGGAAACCCUGCCUAUUGCACUUUCACCAAAGUCUGCUAUCAAGGUCUCAUGGUUUCUGACUGGAUCAUGAAGUACUUUAAAACUUGCUGGCAUUACUCCUUCUUCUAGGUGAAACUUAUCAAUAGUUUUCUCCCAUGAUUGAAGGCGAAGGGUCUUCAAGAUAAAAUUUCUAACAAUUUCAGGUUCCCCCUUCGUCAGAAAAACCAAAGCACUAGGGACAAAGUCUCUUACAAACACCUACACACAAAUAUAGCAUCAUAGGUUAACUCUCCAUAGCAACUCAAAAGGGGUAGAAAUGAUAUAAUAUAUACAAUGAUCAAAGCCAUAACCAACCCUUUUUCAGAAUUUCACAGGACACCGACUUUUUUGCAAAAAAAGUUGUGAAUUAUUAGAGACUGUCAGUCUGUGAUCAUUUGUCAUGCAAAUCAAUCACAUAACCUGUUUGUUUUAACUUUGCACGAUCAAGCCAGUUUGUCUUGUGAAGGGGAGAACAAUAAUCACCCACUUCGUUGAGGGUGCACAGAACAUGUCAAUUUGGUUUGGGAAAAAAAAUAAAAAAACUCAACCAAUCAAAAUCAAAUGGUCCGGUUUGGUUUGAAUUUAAAAAACCAUUUAAAAUAUAAGUUUAGUGGAAAUUGAUCAUUUAAAUAUAUUUUUCUAAAAUAAUACGGAUCGUUUCAUUUUCAAUAAAUAUGAAUCUGACAAUGGAGCCAAUUACAAAAAUCGGAUUUCAUCCAUUCGGUUCAAUUCAAUUUGUCGGUGCAAAGAACUACACGGUUUAAUGAAUUUUGACAACCAGGGGUGAAUAAGAUUUGUGUAUGUUUAUAUAUAAUUUUGAAGCAAAUUGAAAUUAAAUAAUGUUAAGCUCGAAAGAGUUCCAUAGGUCCUCGCAAUUUGCAUCAUCUAUACGUGCUAGUUGACCCCACAAUUUGGUAUGUGUGAUGAUAAUAUCGUCAUUCUCACGGAAUAUGAUAGCCUAGUAGAUAAUAUAAAAAGAGCAACUACGUACCAAAUUAUUGUGUGGAGGACAAAUAAUGCCUAUUAAUAUGUUCCUUCCUUCCUUCUUGUUGAGAUUCCCUUUGAUUUGUUUUAUAUGUAGUGAUAAAAAAUCCAUGUCAUAUGGGUAGAGCCUUAAUUUCCUUGCUUGCUAUUGUAAUUGUAUGCUAUGCUUUGACUUUAUCGUUCUAAAUCUCUUCUUCUAUAAACCUUGUUAUUAAUUUUCUCGGGCCUUCAAUGGGUUACUAUUAUUGUAAACCCAGGCCUUGUGAUACUCGUACUCCCAAUGUUGUUCUGAUCUUGGCCGUGGCCUUGCUUCUUCUAUGUGCACCAAAGCUCUUCUCAGGUGAAGCAGAGGAAGAAGAAGAAACGAAUAACACCUCACCUUUUGUGGUGCCAAUAAUCGUAGUACUCAUCCUGCUUUUGUUGUCCUUUUUGGGAGGUUCAAGCAGAAGAAGGGUUUGUGUCAAGCCACCAUAUUGUCAGUGUACGUAUGCCUGCUACUGUUACAGAUAGUGCUAUCGCCGUGAUCACGGAUUUGAUCUCUAAGUUUAUGUGUGUGAAAUUAAAUUUUUAAAUAAAUUUUAGUAUUUUAAAGAAUUAGUCGUUGACUAUUCGCUAGAGAUAUAAAAAAAUAAAAAAAAUUGUCCAAUACCUUGCUGAUGGAUGAGGAUAAAUGGUAUUGUGCUCUAUCAUCUUUGUUAUCUUUACUAUUGUCUUAAUAAGACAAUGAUGAACAUGUAAUUUAUUGUUUCAUAUUGUCGGUGCACCAAAAUUUUAUGUUACUAAUGUAUUACGGGACAGUAAUUAUAUAUAAUGUUCCUAUUUCAUAUAUUCUUAUCGGUCAAGUCACAUUAUAAUUUAAAUAUGUUAUGCUGUAUGAUUGAAUUUUCUAGCUAGCAUUUUUGAAGUGACCAUUCUGUGUUCAGUUAAAUUGUUAUUAGUUAUGCUUUUAGCUAGAUAGAUAGAUUAGAGUUGGAACUUGGAAGGAAUGAAUUCUUCUUUUGGAUUGCAGUUUGCUGAUAUACCGUAAACCGUAGGAAAACAGAAUCACAACUGCAUGAUCAACACGAGUUUAUCCGUGAUCCUUGCGAUGAAAAAUGGUGUACCCUCUAAUUUACAAUAUUAAAGGGUUGUUUAUAAUGUAGGAGUACAGCUGUACAGACUAUUCAUGAUACCGGUGCACCACAUUUAUUGAGUGUAUGGUGGAAAUUAGGAAGAGAAAUAAAUCAAUAAACUAAUAUAUGUAAUAAAGAGAGGAAUAAGAAGAAAAAUUGGGUGUAUGUUUAGCAUUUUUCUUUGUUGAGGUUACGUGCUUCGUUUUAUUUAUUUUCAAAAAAACUAAUAAUUCCUUGUUAUCUUUUAGAGAGAGCUGGUAAAAAAAAAAGAUCUUUUUUUUUCCAACUAAACAAACAUGUCAUGUUUUGUGUAAACUCAGUUUUUUCAUGGAGAAUAGCACGUAAGAACUUAUGAGAGAAGGUCAAAACUCAAAAGGGGUAGAAAGAAGGGGAAAACCGGGAAAGUGUGACUUUAUUUAUAAAGUAGGUAAUGGCCCAUCCGUCCCCACACUAGCUCCAUUAUUUUUUUAUGAUAGCUAUCUCUGAUUCAUUCUAAUGCGGUAUCAGUUUCAGCAUUGAAGUGGACAACACAAAAUUAGCACUGGUUAAAUUCUAGCAGAAAUGAGACAGAGGUAUUUGAAGAAGUUGGACAGAGACAUCUAAAAUGCGUUAAAAAUGCAAAUAGUGUUGUUUGAGGUAAUCAUUUUUUGUUGAACAUAAUAGAUGCAAUCACUCGAGAGGGAAGUGGGCGAAAGAGACACUAAAGAGAAUCAUACUUUUGAUACAAAUCGUUAUCAAUUUUUCUUUCUUUCUUUUUUCUAAGUCGAUAUCAAUUUAAGUUCGUAUAAAAAAUAAUCAACCAAAUAAAAGCUUUUUACAUUGCUAUAUAAUACCAAUCACCACCCAAUUGAUUAAUAGUAUACAAUUUUUUGUUCCAUGUAUCCAAAUUAAAUCCAUAGAGUAGUUAUUACAAACUCAAUGUUUAAGAAUAUCACAGUCUGUGAUUAAAUAUUCUUUAAAAAAUGAGAUUAAAUAGUCGCGCAAAAAUAUUUUAAUAAAAUCUAACAAAAUUCAGAACUCCCAUACCCAAAAGACCAUAAAAUUCAAUGGCUUAUGGUAGAAGCAGAGCCUCCGCUGUUUUGGAUGGCUUCACUCUGAAUCCCUUUGCCAUAUCCUGUUCUGUUAAUCUUAGCACUGAUCUUCAUCUUGCUUGGCCUUUCAUGGUACUUUUCCUAAGAAUAAGCGGUUGAAACUGCUGAACAACAAUUGGGUUGGUUACUGUUUGCCACCCCAGUGGUGCUAAUUCUCAUAGUUAGUUAGUUAUCAUCAUCAAUGGAAAAUUCAGAUUGGUUCCUCUAUGCUUCGUUACCAGGGGAAAGGCGCGGCUGGAGAAUUCACUAAGCCCCUUCAGAAAGGAGCUCUCCAUGGGGUGGGGCUGCUUUGAUCCCGGUGUUGCUGAUAAUGGUGCAAUAUCAAUCCAACUUUCUUGAUAGCUGGUUUCUUUGAUUUUGAUUUUUUCUCUAUAGGUUGGUUUUAUUUUUCUGUGCCUUUUGAUUUUUGGUUUUUACUAACUAGGAGUCUGUGGAAAAAUCCUUUGAGUAGUGUAAUUUGUAAAUAUGUAGAUACAUAUGUGACGGUGCUUGUAUGAAUAUAAUAUAUGAAUCAUGUUAAAGGUGGUUAGGUGAUUCUCAUAUAGCUGUGUGUGUCCCUUCUAAAUGAUCGCAAAGAUAAGAUGAAACUGAGAUUCUGAGUUUUUCUUAAUUUUUUUUAGUUGGAAAAGAGGGUUGCUGCUUCCUUGCAUAUGUUCUUUUACGUUAAAUUUGAUUAAACAAAAGCGAUUUCACAAGUCAUGACAAAAUAAAAACAAGUAAUUCUAAUAUUUUAAGAAACUUGACUCAACCAUCGUCAUAAAAUUAUGUAACUGCUCUAACUCUAAAAAGCUUGGUUAUUCGCACCAGUUUUUUAUUUUUUAUUUUUAUUCAUGGUAACUCUCGGGUCAAUUCAAAAGAAAAUAUGUCCAGAUUAUUGAUGAAAUUAUUUUUCACUCAUGCAGGUCAAAUCAUAAAAAAAUAAUAUUAUAAUGCAUUUUCUACAACAAUUUUAGAGGCGUAUUUUAUCUUUAUGUAGAUUUGAAUUUAACAUUGGCAAGUUUCAUGGCAUAUCAACUUCAACCGGAGAUUGGAAGAGACUAGUGAAUGAAAAGCAUAAUGAAUUACGAUAUAAUGCUUAAAAAGAAAACAAUUUAUUUGAAGCCAUAAAAGGUUUUCGUUCACAAGGGAAAAUAGUUGUUACUUGUUACGCAUUCCCAUUAAACUAACUACUCAUGCUUUCAUAAAUCUCACCAACAUAAGCACAAGAAAACGAUAGCAAGAACAAACCAUUGAAUUGCUACGUGGAGAUCAAGUUCCAUUAUUUUCACAAGUUAAUUUACAUACAGAAUGUCAGCAAAUAAUUCAGUAAUAUAUCAAUAUAUGUAUAUCUGACCUGCAUAUGAACAAGAACAAGAAUUUCAACAAAAGCUGCCUUAUACUUGUGUGUGUGGUGAUAACAUAUGGGAAUUCUGUCUCCUUCUCUGAGAGAUCCUAAAAACCACUUAGAAUAAAAUAAAGAUUAAUAACAAAGUGAUAGCAGUGGCAGCGGUAGCAGCAAGAUGAGUACGUUCCAGCUUGGAGGGAGACACGACAACUCGAUGGAAUGACUCGUGCCUGGAAUGCAUGCAGCAAAAGUUGAGCCUUCUACAGGUGUAAUAUGAGAGCAAGAAGAAUCCAAACAUGAAGGGCGAAAGGAAGAGGAAUGACUGAAUGUAGAUGGCUGUGUGAUUCUGCUGAGCCUUGUAGGUGGUGUAUUGGGAGAGCCACAACAAGCUAAGGACAAUGCCUAAUAUCACAAGCAAGUGAAGAGUUGGAGAAAGAGAAGCAGCAGUGUCUAUGGUCUGCUCUUGCAAUAUGCAUUCCUGCUUCCAUUCUGCACUUUUCUUCUUUGUAUAGAACCACCCCAUUUUGCUCUCUUUCUUUCUCACUUAAUGAAACAUGCAGAACUAGACUGUAUCAUAAGCACACUAGGUUAUAUGGAGAACAUAUCUUUACCAUAAGACAAAUAAAUGUAAAGAUUAUUUUUUCCGCAAUGGGUUAUAUGGAUUUUAUUUCGCAAAAAUAAUAUCAAAAUUACAUCUUAACUUUUGGGGAGUAAACGACAGCAGUAAUACAAAUGAUAACACAAAAUUUAAUAAGAUAAAAUAAAAUGAUAAUAUGGAGAGAUGGAAAGGAUAGUUUUUUGCUCACAUUUUUUCUCUCCACGAAAUCAGUAAUUGAAACUUACCUUAUUAAGCCAAAGUAGCAUAAACUUGUGAAUAAUGAGAGCGAAGAUAGAAGACCAAAGGGUCGCACAAGCUGAUAUAGAAAAAUUAUAUUUGAAAACAUUUGUUGGUUAUGAUCUCAUGGAGAAGGGGGGAACGUUCAGAUUUGUGAAGAAUAUAUAGAAGCAAAGGCUGAUGAGAAAUAUUGUGGCUAAUUCAGAUUUAAAAUAUUUUCAAUACACAUUUAAAAAUUGAAAAUAAAUAGAAAUUAAAAACCACAUAAAUUUCUCCACAAAAACCCACCAAUGCAUCUAUGAUAAUUGACCUUGAGAAAUCCUAAAACAAUUUAUUAUAUUCUGAAUAUACACAUUUGAAAUUUAAAAAUAAACGAGAUUAAAACCCCCAAAAAUUUCUACACCAAAAAUAAGAAAAUGAGAUAAAAUUAAUUUUGUAAAACAUUUUUGUUAUUAAUUAUUGAUUGAAACAAUUAAUUACUAUUAGUAAUAUAUAUUUAAUUCGAUUGAAUAUUUUUCUCUCUCGCUAUUUUAUAGUAUUUUUAGAAACCUUGGCAUGCUAGGGAGGCUAUGAUAUGACUCAUGAGAUGUGGUUCUUUUAAUAAAAAUAUAAUCAAACACUAGUAAAUUAAAACACACAUAAUAUUUUAUAUUUAAUUAACUAUCAUAUUUUCUUAACAUAAUUAUUAUACUUUUAAUGAUAUUUUGAUUGAUUCAAAUUUUGAUUGAAAUUAAAAAUAACAUAAAUGAUACUAAAAAAAUCUUUCUAUACUUAUCCUAGAUAUAAUUGGGUUAAAUGGAAACAAAUCAAUUGGAAUCAAUAUUGAAUUAUUGAUAAUACAUUAUCAUUUUUUAAUUUUAAACUUUUAUUUUUCUUGAAAAAAAAUAUUAUCUAAUAAAAAAAUUAAUUACACAAUUAAUAUGAAAAAAAUUAAGAUGAAAAAAGGCAGGACCUAUUUUAAAAAUGUUCGACAGUCUUAGUCAACAAAUAUCUUUCAUAUAAUAUAUUGAUUUAUAGUAUCCUUUAGAAACCUUGGCAGCUUGCUAGGGAGGUUAUAUGACUCAUGAGAUGCUGUUUUUUUUUUAAUAAAAAUGUAACCAAACACUAAUAUAUUAAAACUUACAAAUAUUUUAUAUCCAAUCAACUAAUAUAUUCUCUUAACACAACAGUUACAUAUGAAGAUAAUAUAGUUCUAAUAGAAUCAAGAUUUUUCAUGUGCGGCAAACUAUUUGUAAUUGAAGUGAUUGUUGUCCUUCAAGAAUAAUCAUCCUUUAUUUUGUUUGAAGAAAAAAUGUACUUAGAGGUUAAUGAACAUAAAAGGCUAAACUAAAAUAUUAUAAUGCCAAAUUAACUUUAAUAUAACCAUAUUUAUAUUUAUUUAUUAUUAAAUUAAAAUUUGUAAAUAAUAAAAAGUAUUAUCCCACACAUAAUGUACGGGUUAGAGGUUAAUUGAACGUAAGAAGUAAAACUAAAAUGUUGUAAUGCCAAAUUAACUUUUAUAAAAUUAUAUUUGUUUAUUAUUAUUCUUUUUAAGUUAUCAAUUUUUUUUCUAAAUUACAUUUAUUUAUUAUUACCUCACACAUAAUGCACGGACACACAUACUACGUAUUAUUGCAUUUACUUUCAAUCAUUUAAGUCCAUGUUAUCAAUUUUAUAUUUUUUUUCAUUCAUUCACUUAAUUUUUUUUUAUUUUUACAGGAUUAAAUUAAUGAUCUGCAUAAAAAGUGAUUAUAAUUGAACAAUUUAAUUUUUUUUUAAUAAAAAUGAUUUAUUAUAAUUUACAUUGGAGUUUUAUUACGUAGUUUCAUAUUUUUAAACAUAUUUCUUUGACUUUGGGAGAGUAAUAUUAUCAAGAUUAUUUUAUAGUUGUAUUAAAAAUUAAUCACAUUCAAUUAUGUUUUCUUAUUUCCAAUUAAUAAAAAAAACUUAUAGACAUGUGAAUUGAUUUUUUUAAUAAUAUAAAAAUGAAUAAAAUUGUUAAUAUAUUUUUUAUAUAAUCUAAAAAAUUUUCCUCCAAAUUUUCCUGUGCGAUCCUUACAUCACAAGGGUACUAUCUAGUUAUAUAUAAUAACUACUUUAAUUAAAUAUCCACAAAAAACUACUUUAAUUAAAUAUAAUAUAUAAUUGUAAUUAAAUAAUGAAUAUAUAUCUUUAUAAGAUCAAUUUCAAAGGACAAUUAUAUAUAUCUUUAUAAGAGCAAUUUCUAAGAACAAUUAUUCAAUAAGUGUUUUUAUGAUUUUUUGUUUAGCAAUAAUUUUUUCUUAAUUUUCAUCUCUUUUAAUAUAUUAUUGUCAUAUUUAUUUUUAAAUUAAAAUUUUAUACUUUUUAAAAUAAUUUAUCAAAAACUAAAAUAACUUUAUAUCAUAAUAUAAAUUAUUUAUUAUGAUUUUAAAAUAUAAAUUAUAUGUUUAAAAAUAUUUUUUUAUUAUAAAUUUUAAUUACAUAAAAUAAAUAUUUAUACUGCACAUUACACAAAUUAAAAUAUUAGUUAAUCAUACAAUAAAAUAAUAGUCAAAUAAUUGAUUAAAAUAAAAGAAAACAUUUUUUUAUAUCGUAUUUUUAUGGUCUUAGUAUACAUGAGUAGGAUAAGUGAGUCACCAAGUGCCACGUGAAACGACCAAUGAAAAGCGACAAUUCCAACAUCUAAGCAAAGAGAGUACGCCCUAUAUUUAAACGACAUCGUUCGUGGAAUGCGCAACUUCUUUCCCUAAAACACACCCCAUUACAAUUCUCUGUAUUUCAGGGUUGAAAAUUCACACGUUGAAUUGAAAUUUGGAAAUCGUGACACCAACCCUACACCACCAUGGCCUCCGUAGACAAAUUUUGGGCUUUUGCCCUCGCUCUUCUCCUCCUUGCCUCCCCUCUCCUCCAAGGUCUGCUCCCUCUCUUUCUAGAUCCAGAUCUGUUUCUCCUUCGAUCCUUGCAUGUCACGAUUAUCGUGAUUUCUUAUUAGAUUUAUAAAAAGGUUCCUAUUUUUACUUUGGUGCCGACCCAAUCGUUCCCUUUCCAGCUGCCCCUUUGAGCUCUGAUCUGCUUUAUUAUUGUUUUUUUGGAUUCUGAUCUUUGCUGGGACCAUGUGUUUUUGCUUGCACUGCAUUCCUGCUUUGAUAUCAAGGAGAGUGAAAAGAUCGCUUUUUUAGGGAUGGGCAUUUUACAAUUGUCGAAAAUUUGUAUCUUUUAACAUAGAUUUCAAAAUUGAAUUCCCGAGCUAGAUUGACUUAUAGGGGUGGAUUGAUGGUAUAAUGCUAUGUUUAUCUGGAAUCUGGUUAUGUUUGUUGCGCUGUGUUAAGUUUGUCUGUCAAAGAUACAUAGAUGUUAAAAAUUCAGCAUGUCUCUUACUCUCUGCUAUUUAUUAUUUUAUUUGCCCCAUUGGAUCUGUCUAAUAACUUCAUAUGCAUGUUUUCAUGCAUUUUGUGCAUGGUCAUGAUUAGAUGUGGUUUUUUCUACUUGCUAGUUGCUAGGUGUCAGUCAGACUCCGAAGAUGUAGUGGAGGCUGCUGAAGAAUCAAGUGAUAUCGGCAUUGUUGGUGAUGAUGUCCAAGACUUUGGUGAUGGGACCUUCCCUUCUGCUCCAGGAAUUGAAACAAUAAGUGUUUUUCCAAAAAAUAGUGCGAGAUGUAAGAAUGGUUCUGUCUAGUUCACCAAAAGUAUGGUUCAUAAUGCAUUCUUUUGUUUUGUUUGAUAGUGGGUUGAAUUUGCUUUUUCAUGUAAAUUCGAUGCAGUGAUAACAGCUGGAGAAGAGACAGAGCUGCUUGUUGGUGUUAAAAAUGAUGGUAAGUCAAUCAAAUUUGAUACUCAUUGUUGUAUUUUAGCUUGCAGUUUGAUGCUUUUGACUUUGUUAACUGUUAUGUUUGUCACUAUUCAGUAGUUAUGCCUUUCAUUUUUCGUAUGACACUGGAACAUAUCUUCAUUUUUCAUUAUUCUUCUACAUAAUUUUCUUAUUGAUAUACGGAGAGAGUGGAAACAAAAAAAGAAAAUAGAGGUAUUCAUGCAUUAGCAGAUUGGCUAAUUCCAUUCGUUGUGUGGAAUGAAAACAGGGGAUUCAAGCUUGAAUGUUAUUGCGAUCAAGGCUAGUGUUCACCUUCCUUUUGAUCACCGUAUGCUGGUUCAAAAUCUUACUGCACAGGUAAUAAGUUGCUGAAUUUCGAAAUUAAACGUGGCUAUUUAUUUGUGAUUAAGAAUUAUACUGCCCAUAUUAUUUUGAAGGAUUAGUUAUGCUUGAUAAAAAUUAAUGAAGAUUCUAUAGAAUUAGAAUCAAUACUGGGAAUAAGCUAAUUAUUUAUUCUAAAAAGAGAGUUUCAAAUAUUCCUGAAAAUAGUUUGGGUAAUAAAAUGUAAAGUAUAUGUUGUUUGGGUCCAAGAGUUUGAAGAAACUCUUAAUAGUUUUCCACUUCAUACUCUCCCCUUCAAAGACCAGGUUUUAAAAUACUAGAACUAUAAAUAUUCAUAUGACAAGGAAUGCUAUAUUUGGCCCUUGUAUUGACAAUGGUUUUUCAGCAUAUUUGUGUAUGCAUAUCAUAGAGUUGUCGCCGCCACUCCUGUAUGCUAAAAGGGUGAAUAGAUGUUUUGUGAUAUUUUUCAUUUCCUUUUUAUUUCAUCCAGAGUCCAUGUUCCCCAUAAAAUAUGAGAGCCAAUGAUUUUGUCAGGCUAGAUAAUGCCAACCGUCUAAGUAGUUCUGCAAGUUCAUUUGGGAACAUUGAAUUACCUUGAACAAAUUACUUUGGGAACUUUUGGUUAAUACGUCAGUAUCACAUUAUUCAGCUUAUUCUCUGAUUCAGCAAAUGGUAUUGCUCAUAAAUAUUUUAAAUGCAAGCUUUUGUUUUAAUUGCAGGGUUUUAACAAUGGUUCUGUACCAGCCUCAGCACAAGCUACUUUCCCAUAUUUAUUUGCAGUCAGUAAGUUCUUGCAGGUAUCUCCAUGGCUCUAAAGGCCAACGCUUUUAGUUUCUCAGUGAGUAACGCAUCACAAGGGAAAGCAUCACUAGGGACUAUUAUACUCAUUAUGCCUAAUAAUUUUUCUGUUUUGCAGGCAGGAACUUUUGACCUUGUGGGCACUAUUAUAUACGAGAUAGAUGAACAUCCAUAUCAAAGCACCUUUUUUAAUGGCACUGUUGAGGUUGUUGAAUCUGGUGCUUUUCUUAGCAUGGAAUCCGUUUUUCUUGUUACUCUUGGGGUUGCACUCCUUGUCCUCCUGGGGCUAUGGAUUCAUGGCCAAAUACAGUACCUAUCUAAGGUACUAAAAUCUUUAUCUUUUUCAAAUAAUGUGCUAUCAAGGAUUGCCUUCACUAUUAGAGUUUGCUAAUGGUACUCCUCAUAAUAUGUCCUGAUUUAUACUCAGACUUUGCACUUGUUUGGUUUGCUAACUACAAUGUGUCAUGAGAUCAUAAGUCAGAACUCAGAAUUAUUUGGUUUUCUUGUUAUUUGAUUAUUUUUGCCUAACUCCAUGGUUCAUUCAAAAUUCUUGCCAAACACUACUUCAUAGUUCAUACUAACUGCGAUUUGGCAGUGUAUUAAUUUUAGAGUUCUACCUUAUAUCCAUUUCCGUAACGAAGACUACUAUGAAAUUGUCCUUUGCGGGAGAUUGUUAGAUGGUCUAGGACGGAGAGGUCUGUAAAAUAAUCAGCAGCUUUCUAGGAGAAGUCAUGUUUGCAUGGUUUUAAGCUAUAACUGAUGUGAUUUGUGUGAUUUGGUGUGGGUUUUUAGUUAUCUAAAGCAAGAGAAUCCAUUUACUCCUGGAGCAUACAAGAGCCUCUCUCUUAAUUUGAUGAGUUUUUCAGAUCUCAUGCAUAUACAAUAUUAAGAAAGGCAGCUGAUCAGAAUUUUCAUUUAAAAGAAAAUCUCAAGUGUUUCUUUUUGUUUCCCACUUAAGUCACUUAUUUGCUUACUCUUUCUGAUAAUUUCAUUCCUGCAAAUGAAUAUUUGGUCAGAAAACAAAGAGGGCUCCAAAAGUUGAAGUUGGGACUAAGACUACUGAUGCUUCAACAGAUGAAUGGCUACAGGUCUGUUCGUAUGCUUUACGGUUUUAUAUAAUGUUGAAAAUCAGGAUAAAAUAAUAUACAUAUUUUGAUGUCAUAUUUGAUGCUUAAACCUGCAAUGUAACAUUAUUGGAUUUAUGAAAUCUCUUCCUAUUCCUUUUAUUUUGACACACAGGGAACUGCUUAUACUCAGUCUCUGUCAAGCAAGUCAAAGAAGAAGAAGUAGAUAAACAAUUUCUCACGUUCAGCCACUCACUAGACUCUACCAUGGAUAUGGAAUACAGAAUCCUGUAACUGACUAGGGUUGAGUAUGAGAGAACACGAGGAAGUAGUUGUGAAAUUUUGGCUGAAAGAUCCAGCUUUCUGUUGUAGCUUAAGAAUUUUUACUUUUCUACAUUUGAAUGAAGUUGAGCUUUUUCUAAACUAACAAGGAUUUCAGUUAGGAAGGAUACAACUUUUGAGAUGUGGCAUAAUUUUUAUUAGAUAACGUUUGUUUUACUUUUACCUAUAUCCUGUGUUUGUGGGUGAAUUUGGAUUUUUGGUUUCUAGUCUAUGCCUUUUCCUCAUUUUAUAUAUUUAUUAUGACGGAGCUUAUUAGUGGAAUGGAAGUUAUAGACAUGGGAUUGAUUGAAAGUAAAUUCGUAGGGGAUGUAAGAUAUUAUCUUGACCUAGUGGGAUAGGACUAUUGUUGCAAGAUAUUUAUGUGGUGCUGGUAUUAUUUGGAACCAUAGAACACAGGAAGAAAUAAAAGUGAGGAGAGAAAUCCUUUCAAAGUGGCAUGUUGACUCUUGUACAAGUUGAAAACACGAACUUUUUGGGUGGUGAGAAAACUUUGGGAAAACAGAGGAAUGAAAUCUUUGGUGUUGAAAGAAAUGCAAUAUAACGCAAUGAAACAAAAUUAUGGAUUUUUUUUGUUAUCAUGUCAUCAGAAUGGAAAUAGAAUAUCUACUGGUUUUGUUGAGGAUUGUUUAAGGAGAUUGGAAUUUGGUUUUACUUAGAUUAAUGACUUAUUGGUAAAAAAAUCAUGAAUUUGAAUGCGGAUCAAUGGGGUGGGUGGGAAGGGUUUAACGUUGAACUUCCUCUUAAACCAUAGUUUUCGGGGUACCGAUGAUGUUGAAGGCAAGUUUGAUUGGGUGUGGAAAAGUACCCGGGAGGGAGACAUUGAGAAUGCAGCUAAUAGGUAUCUAUCCUAUCCUUUUAAAGGUUUUGUAUGUUUUUGGUUCCUUCUUAAGAAUUCAUCUAGUCCAUCAAUGUAUGGUAAUUUUGCUAAUUUUAAUACAUCAAAAAGUGGAGAAGGAAGAAUGUGUUGUUUUGGAAAUAAAAGUACUUUUGAGUUCUCAUCUCAAUCAAACAUGCACAAAACGGUUGAAGUUGACAAAUUAAUUGUCUUUAUUUAAUUCCAUCUUGUUUCAUUUAAGUAUUGAGAUGGUUUUAAUUGUAAUUGUUUGUAGAAUUAUUAAUGAGGGAUAUGACUGAAUAUUUUUUUUCCCAGACCUUAAUUUCUAAAAUGAUAUUAGUAUUGAUUUUUGUUUCUCUCUAAAAAGUAUAAUUUGAGAAAAGGAGAUAAAGUUUAUUGUUUUUUUUUCUUAUAAAUCAAAUAAUGUCAUGUAAAGUAAUCAUUAUUUUUAUUUUCUUUCAUCUGAUUUUUCCUUCAUUUCUAAAUAUACAGACAAAAAUUCAAUCAUUAUUUCUUUUUUAAAUUACUCAUUUGGUUCUUAUAAUUUCACAAUCUAUAUCUUUUAAUUCAUAUAGUUUGAAAGUGAUUUUUUAAGUCUUUAUAGUUUAUAUUUUAAUUUUUUUUAGUCUAUAUAGUUUAAAAAAUGAUUUUUUAGUCCUAAUAAUUUAUAUUUUAAUUCUUUUUUAAUCAUUCUAGUUCGAAGGUGAUAUUUUUAGUUUCUAUAAUUUGUGUUUUAAUUAACUUUUAAUUCUUAUUACAAAAAUUUUAUAAAAAUAAUUAGUUACAAAUUAGUUAUAAAUUAUAAAUUAUUUUUUAUUACAAGUUAUCUUGCGCUAAAUUAGUUAUAAAUUAUUUGUUAAUGUUUUUUUUUAGUUUAUUGUAAUUGAUAGUAUAUCUAAUAUUUUGAUGAUAAAGAUUAAAAAGGAAUUAAAAUAUAAAGUAUAAGGACUAAAAAGAUCACUUCCAAUUAUAGGGACACAGAAUUAAAAUGCAAAUGAUAAGGAUUAAAAAAAUCACUUUCAAUUAAACUAAAAAAUAAUUAAAAUAUAAACUAUAUAAAGACUAAAAUGUACAAAUUAAAUGAUGAAACUAUAAGAUCAAAUGAUUAAUUAAACAUUUUCUUUUACCAAAUUGUUAUAUUUUGUUAAAUGCAAAUAAUGAAUUAAGAUACUUUUAAGGAUUGAUAAAUAAAAAUAUUUAAUGAAAAGAAUUCAAAUUUCUAAAUGAAUUUAAUGAUGUAUUUUUUUUUAAUUUCUUAUCAAGUAUUCUUAAUUUUUUUUAUCAAAAUUCUUUUAUAUACUUUUAUUUUAAAAUAACUUUCACUUUAAAUGAUUUGUUUUAUUUUAAAUUAUUUUUAAAAAAUAAAAACAACAAAUGUAUGACAAACACCGCUAUUUUUUAAAAUGAUUUUGAAGACUUAUAAUCUUUUUUAUUAGAAAAGAUUUUACUUCAGAAUGUAUAUGGCUAGUACUAGUAUUUAUGAAAUUUUCUAUUGCUGUGUAUUAACCAAAGUAUAUUUUUCUCUAAAAUUGGUGUAAAAUAACACAUGGUAUCUAAGUUGCAUUAAUGAUGUACAGUAGACAAUCCUUUUUUCUUUCUUUAAACUUAAAACAAUAUGUUAAAUCAGUAAAUCUCUAUAAUUAAGGAUUAAUUGCUCGAUCAUUGACAACUAACACACAGUAACACUUGUAUUCAAAUAUUCAAUCACGAUUUAUAUACCUGUCAAUUAUCUGUUACAGCAAAUGCCUACAGCCUACACGACGACUGAUUGUGUCCGGAAUGUAGCAGCACGUUGGUUUGUGUUACUUAAUGUUUCAUAAAUCUCUAUACGUAUUUCUAUAAAAAUAAUGCCAAAUCCUUCUAUUAUAUUCUCUUAGUAAUCCUUUUUUUUUUGUUAAAACAUAAACCAACAUUUUAUAUAUUUUAUUAUAUUAAUUACAUUAUUCAAUAUUUUUAUAUGACAUUGACUGUUCAGAGACUUAAUAAAAAAAUGUUAUAAUUAACAAGAUAUAUAUAACAUUGCUCUAUAAAAAAUUUUAAAUGAAUAAAAAUAAAAACUAUCAAAAAAAUAUUAUUAAUGCAUUCUCAUUAUAAAUUUCAACAUAAUUUUUAAUUAAAAAAAAUGGCUAUCCUUCAACCAGCUAGUGUCCUAAUUAAUUUCAUUAAAAACAGUGUCUUAAUUACUGAAAGAAGGUUACAAGAGAGUAUAGUACCAAUAAAUCUCGCAAAGUAAAUAUUUCAUAAAUAUCUGAGGAAGUCAUGUUAAUCACAUAUGGCACUUGGGGCCACUGCAUCCAUCCAUUGUACUUAUUAGUAAAUGCUUAGUCUCUGAGCUUAUAUUUAAAACAUUUCCGGACAUAGUUGGAGGAUAUGAUUAGCCCCUAAUAAAGUAUAGCUAUGUACUAAAAUAAACAAGAGUUGGAUUCAGCGCGAAAGUGAUUGCCAACUACAAUACUUUCGUAGCAAUUAGCAGAAUGUCACAUUUGUUUCUAAAAUUGAUAGAGCUCUCCUUGCUUUCCACCAAAAUUGAAUUGAUGAACACAGCUCUAUAAAACCAUCAAUUAUAUAUGUAUCAAAAGUCAAUCAACGAAGAAAGAGAUGGAUAGGCAUAUUUUAAGUAUUGANNNNNNNNNNNNNNNNNNNNNNNNNNNNNNNNNNNNNNNNNNNNNNNNNNNNNNNNNNNNNNNNNNNNNNNNNNNNNNNNNNNNNNNNNNNNNNNNNNNNACGGUACAUAUCGCACAGAAACCACCAAGCCCACCAAAGGUUAAGCCUCCACAUCCACCAAAACCACCAAAGGUUGAGCCUCCUCAUCCACCAAAACCACCGAAGAAACCACCAUGCCCACCAAAGGUUAAGCCUCCACAUCCACCAAAACCACCAAAGGUUGAGCCUCCUCAUCCACCAAAACCACCGAAGAAACCACCAAGCCCACCAAAGGUUGUGCCUCCACUUCCACCAAAACCACCAAAGAAUCCUCCUCCUCUUCCACCAAAACCACCAAAGGAGCCACCAACACCACCAAAGGAGCCUCCUCCAACACCGCCAAAGAAGCCAUGUCCACCAAUCUUCAAGAAACCACUUCCACCAAUCCCUAAGUUGCCACCACUUCCUCCAGUUCCAAUCUACAAGAAGCCACUUCCACCUCUUCCUCCACUCCCUAAGUUGCCACCACUUCAUCCAGUUCCAAUCUACAAGAAGCCACUUCCACCUCUUCCUCCACUCCCUAAGUUUCCACCACUUCAUCCAGUUCCAAUCUACAAGAAGCCACUUCCACCUCUUCCUCCACUCCCUAAGUUUCCAACACUUCAUCCAGUUCCAAUCUACAAGAAGNN
This 25870-nucleotide long non-coding RNA is filed under the name Glycine max (soybean). RNAcentral describes it as "long non-coding RNA (GMAX_LNC002422)". The record is from RNAcentral. Lineage: Eukaryota; Viridiplantae; Streptophyta; Magnoliopsida; Fabales; Fabaceae.